AGCGUUGUCCGGAUUUAUUGGGCGUAAAGCGCGCGCAGGCGGUCUUUUAAGUCUGAUGUGAAAGCCCCCGGCUUAACCGGGGAGGGUCAGUGGAAACUGGAAGACUGGAGUGCAGAAGAGGAGAGUGGAAUUCCACGUGUAGCGGUGAAAUGCGUAGAUAUGUGGAGGAACACCAGUGGCGAAGGCGACUCUCUGGUCUGUAACUGACGC
Molecule: ribosomal RNA, 210 nt
Filed under: Listeria monocytogenes
Lineage: Bacteria; Bacillati; Bacillota; Bacilli; Caryophanales; Listeriaceae
Description: partial 16S ribosomal RNA
Rfam family: Bacterial small subunit ribosomal RNA
Source: RNAcentral